AUACGUUCUAAACUACUGCAAACCCAAACCUAAACCAGUAACCUCGAUAGAAACCAUUCCUCCUCAACAAACCCCAUUCCAGAAGGCUCCAAAGAAGAACCCUCCUCAUUUACAACUUCUCUCACCGUCUCCUCCAACUCCUCUCCGAGAAAUUCUGAACCAUCAGACCUCUAAAAGCCCCAAACCAUAACCUUCAAAAUCAGAAACUCCCCAAUGUUGGUGAAGAAGGAACCAUCCUUCAAAAGUUCAUAAAUUUAAGGUUAGCCAACAUUUUUCACUAUUUUAAACUUUUUUAUGGUUUUUAUUCGAUUUUUGUGUUGAAAUGUUUAGUUUUUUUGUGUAUUGUAACAUGUGUUUUUGUGUUUUUAAGUGAUUUAAAUAUAUAAUUUGAAAUGUUUAUUUUCCUAAAAUCAAGUUGUGAUGAUUAAAUUUUUAGGGUAAUACAUUUCUUAAAAUAAAAAAUACUGCUGAUUUGUUAAAUUGGGAGCACCUUUUCAUUCAUUAAGCUCUUUAAAAGUAGCAAGGAUAUGUCAUGGAGUGAAUUGAGUUUAAGUUGUUAGUCUUUCUAAUCAAUUAGCAGAACAAGGUUUGAUGGCAAAUUUUGUGAGAGGAAAAUAGAUUACUGGGACAACAUUUGUGUGUUUACCAUUAGGAAAUAGUUUUUUAAUUCCAUUCUUAAAUAAAUUUGACACAAGAUCAUUUCUUUCACUUUUCAGAGUGGUCUCUCAUGGUCUUCUAACAUAAAAACACCUUUUGAAACGUCUAGUUGCGUACUCAAAUGCUUUGCAAGUAACGCUGAAUUUUGAAGUUUGAACUACACAUGCUAGCUAGCCAUAUUUUCUUUUACAUAGAGAAGUGAGUAUUUAGAAAAUAGGAAUCUGUUUUCUAUAGCUGAAGGAAAUUCUGGUCAUUAACUAAAAAUUAAGCCUUUGCAACCCAGUAUCUGAUUCUUUAGUCAAUUAUGGCACCAAUGAUAUAACGUAUACUUUAAUUUCAAUAGAACUCUCUUUUCUAGUUUGGCUGAUUUCCAACAAAACAUGUUUCAUCUAUCUUGUUAUACUGGUAAAUCAAAUUUCCUCUACAAGUUUUGUUAUGCUGGGUAUGCAACCUCUCUAUAAAUCGGAGUCAUCUGCCACUUCCAGCUUAAAGAUUAUCGUGUUCUAAAAUUGACGUUAUAUUAUAUGUUUAAUUAAUAAAAUAAAGCGUAAUCACAAAGAGACAACAUGUAGAAGAAAACUAACUUAGGAGAAUGAUCUGUGUACAGAGCAUUCUCCUAUAGGGGUUUUACUGACCCCUCACUGUAGGGGUCGGUCCCACAUGAAAAUAAAUAAAUAAAUAAAUUUGCGCCAGGGCCCACACUUAGUGUUGUCUGUCUAGCAGGGGGUACGCCCAGCACGGUUCAACACUAACUUAUCUCUUAGAUCUAUUUUAAGUGUUUGAAUUGUGCUCGUCACUUUUCUGAAUUCUGACACUUUUUAUAUUUUUUGUCACUUUUUUGAAGAGUUAAAUAAAUGACAAGACAAAAAUGGCAAAGGCAAAACAAUCACUAUACUAAUUGAAGAAGCAUUAGAAGAUUCAGACUAUGGUGAUGAUGAGUUUGGGAGUUCUUAUAGUGGCAAUGGUGCAAUGUCUUAAUGGACUGAUCAAAGCACGAAUACGAAGUUUAUUUUUUGUAACUUUUUUUUUUUAAUGUGUCACUUUUUGAGUUUGUCAUUUUGUUUAGAAUUUGGUUACUUUUUGAGUGUUUGUCACUUUUUUAAUCUGUAUAACUUUUUAAUUUGUGUCACUUUUUUUUGAAUUCUUCACUUUUUGUAUAAAAUUUCUGUCACUUUUUUUGAACUUUUGUCGCUUUUCUAGUAUUUAUCACUUUUUUUUUGUCACAUUUUUUAGUGUUUAUUACUUUUUUUAGUCACCUUCUUGAUUUUUAUUACUUUUCUUAGUGAUAAACAUCACCCUUUAAUAAAACUGAUAUUGUAUGUUAUUUUUUAAUAAAAAAAGUGAUAUUGAGUCACUUUUUUAAAAAAAGUGUCAAUUUUUAUUUUAAAAAAAAAGUGACAUUGUGACAUUUUUUUAUAUAACAUAGUAUUUUUUACUUUUAGAAAACUUUUCACAUGAUUUUUUAAAAGACCUUUAAUUUUAAGGGUAUUUUUGCAGGUUGCCCUUUUAAUUACUGUACAUUUGGCCCAUGAUAGGCCGGCGUAACCCGACGAGUUUAAAGAAAAUCCCUGGCCCAUUUGUUGUUUAAAACCGAACGGGUCAACUAAGUUCAAUAGAAUUCCAAAUUUUCUAGAUUUCUCACACACGCUUAAAAAUCCUUCUCUGCCGUCCCUUGCAAUCCCAUCAUAGGAAUCCAAAAUCUUCCAUUCCAAAUUGUGUUAGAUGGAAUAACAUGUAAGUCUGAAAUUUAAGUUCUAUUUUGUGACUUUUUGUGUAAUGAACUCAUUAUAUAUCAAGAAAAUGAUGUUUCUUUGACACCAACGUUGCUGGCUCUGUUGAUAGAUAUAUGGGUUUUGAUUUCCAAUUGGUUUCCUGUUGGUUAAGCUUCUUUCCCUUCCCCAGAAUCCAAAAUCAAUAUCUGCCCAAACUCAUAUUUCCCUUUAAUUUCAUGUUUGUUUCAAAUCCCUUUUUCCUUCCAAUUUUAGUGCAUAAUUAGUUUUAUUGGUCAAUUGAAUCACCACAUCCUUUUGCAGUUUGCUUUCAUUUAUGUAUAGACUAAGUUUUUUAAGUCCAACAAUUUGCAUACGAAUUUUUGCUUAUCCAAAUUUGAUUGGCUUUUUUGUCAAUUUAAUACCUAUAGUACCUAAUGUCAAUUUAAAAAUGUCUGCCU
RNAcentral lists this long non-coding RNA (2827 nucleotides) under Olea europaea subsp. europaea. The record is from RNAcentral. Lineage: Eukaryota; Viridiplantae; Streptophyta; Magnoliopsida; Lamiales; Oleaceae.